CCUACGGGCGGCAGCAGUGAGGAAUAUUGGUCAAUGGACGAGAGUCUGAACCAGCCAAGUAGCGUGAAGGAUGACUGCCCUAUGGGUUGUAAACUUCUUUUAUAUGGGAAUAAAAUGUUCCACGUGUGGGAUUUUGUAUGUACCAUAUGAAUAAGGAUCGGCUAACUCCGUGCCAGCAGCCGCGGUAAUACGGAGGAUCCGAGCGUUAUCCGGAUUUAUUGGGUUUAAAGGGAGCGUAGGUGGAUUGUUAAGUCAGUUGUGAAAGUUUGCGGCUCAACCGUAAAAUUGCAGUUGAAACUGGCAGUCUUGAGUACAGUAGAGGUGGGCGGAAUUCGUGGUGUAGCGGUGAAAUGCUUAGAUAUCACGAAGAACUCCGAUUGCGAAGGCAGCUCACUGGACAUUAACUGACGCUGAGGCACGAAGGCCAGGGGAGCGAAAGGGAUUAGAUACCCUUGUAGUC
This 460-nucleotide ribosomal RNA is filed under the name uncultured bacterium. Its description in RNAcentral is "partial 16S ribosomal RNA". It matches the Rfam family "Bacterial small subunit ribosomal RNA", at positions 338 to 795 of the family's 1533-position model. The record is from RNAcentral.